GCCCCCGUAGCUCAGUGGCUAGAGCACCUGACUUGUAAUCAGGAGGUCCCGAGUUCAAAAUAAGGAUGGAAAUCUCGGUGGGGGCU
Molecule: transfer RNA, 86 nt
Filed under: Candidatus Woesearchaeota archaeon
Lineage: Archaea; Nanobdellati; Candidatus Woesearchaeota
Description: tRNA-Thr
Rfam family: tRNA
About the family: Transfer RNA (tRNA) molecules are approximately 80 nucleotides in length. Their secondary structure includes four short double-helical elements and three loops (D, anti-codon, and T loops). Further hydrogen bonds mediate the characteristic L-shaped molecular structure. tRNAs have two regions of fundamental functional importance: the anti-codon, which is responsible for specific mRNA codon recognition, and the 3' end, to which the tRNAs corresponding amino acid is attached (by aminoacyl-tRNA synthetases). tRNAs cope with the degeneracy of the genetic code in two manners: having more than one tRNA (with a specific anti-codon) for a particular amino acid; and 'wobble' base-pairing, i.e. permitting non-standard base-pairing at the 3rd anti-codon position.
Source: RNAcentral